Molecule: ribosomal RNA, 119 nt
Filed under: Erpetoichthys calabaricus (reedfish)
Lineage: Eukaryota; Metazoa; Chordata; Cladistia; Polypteriformes; Polypteridae
Source: RNAcentral
UAUUACGGCCAAACUGGUGUGAAUGUGCCCGAUCUCGUCUGAUUUCGAAAGCUAAUCACACUCAGGCUCGGCCAGUACUUGGAUGGGAGACCACCUGGCAACUCUAAGUGCUGUAAGCU